This 3327-nucleotide long non-coding RNA is filed under the name Nicotiana tabacum (common tobacco). RNAcentral describes it as "long non-coding RNA (NTAB_LNC005178)". Lineage: Eukaryota; Viridiplantae; Streptophyta; Magnoliopsida; Solanales; Solanaceae. The record is from RNAcentral.
UUAAUUGCCUAAAGGAAAACCACCUCAAUUUUUUUUUUUUUAGGAGUAGUAUUUCUAAAGAAAAUUCUAACGAAAAUAUAAAAACGUAAACUAUCUUCUUCUUUUUUUGGAUUUUUGAGUUACAACACACUUUUUCAAAUAUAAAUCUCCUUAAGCAACUCCUGAAUGAGCAAUCCUGACUAGAUGAUCUCGGGGUAUCUGUCAUGCUCAAACUCCGGUAAGUAGAUCCACACCUGUAUGAAAAAAAACUAAAACCAACACUAGGUGAGACAAUAACACUCCCUAUUGGACGCAUGCAAGACAUGAUUGAGGCUAUUUUUGCAAAAUGGCUUAUGUGACCAAAAGGUGGCUAGAAAUGCAAAAUUUGGCUAAGACCCCGCAAAGACAAGAACCUAAGAUUCACUAGGAAGACUGGACUCUAUGUGGGUUACCUACGUAUCACGCCCCGAAAGACGAGAAUCAUGUAUGCGUAGUUCGGGUAGAUUGGAUACGGGCGGGAAUUACAAAAAUAACUAAUUUAGAGAAAAAUAUUUUUUUUUGUCUUUUUUUAAAAAAAAUGAUAAAACAUGUAAACUCUUUUUGGAUUUUUUUUUUCUUUUUUUUUUGAUUUUCGGAAAAUGAUGAAAAGUGCAAAACCUUUUGUUGAAUUUUUCAAGUUUUUUUUUCCUUAACAAAAUAUGACAGAAAACAUAAUCGAGCCCUACUUGCCUUAUUUUUCACACUUCACCCUCUCUCUUUUUUCUUCUCUUUUUUUUUCUUUUGCCCUCAACUAUCAUUGGUCCGCCAAAUGAUCCUUUUACCCUUGAAAAAAUGCAACAUGUAGCACAUAGGAUGCAUCAAGAUGGUCUGUUAUUCUGGGUAUACUUGUCUUAGACCGACCCAACCCUUGUGUUGAGUCCCCAAAGUCAGAUGCACAUGAUGCAACAAACGUUCCUACUAGGGAUCCGUCAUGAGGCUAUGUUAUUCUAGGUUUAAAACCUGGGUUUAUUUGUUCUAAACCUGGUUUACCCAAGCGGACAGCUCGAGCCGAGGGGGAGCAGUGUACCGGGAAUAUAGAAGCUUCACCGGCUUUGCAACUUGUCCGAACCUCAUUCUAAAAUUGGGAUAUGACUCUAACAGAAGAGAAGUUACACGAAGUGCACCUUAAUCAGAUGAUUUAGAAGACUUAGAGAGAGGAGGGUUUCGCACCAAUUUAUAUACAGUUCAACAAUAUCAAAGCAGUAAAAAGCAGCAUUUAGCACAUUAGGCCCAAACAUGUAAAUAAAACCAGAUAAUAAAUAAAGCCAAAUAUAACAAUUAUUCUAAGCUCGAAUUCUUGAACCCUGAACCAGAGAUUCUGGGUUCUUGUCCCCAGCAGAGUUGCCAGAGCUGUCACACCUCCUUUCUCCUACCCCCGUAGGGGUAUAAGAGAGUUUCUCCAAUUUAAGUGACAAUCAAAACGGGAUUUUUUUGUUUAAAAUUCAGAGUCGCCACUUGGGAUAAUUUAUGGUGUCCCAAGUCACCGGUUUUAAAUCCCGAAUCGAGGAAAGAUUGACUCUGUUUUAGUCCGCGAACACAGAAAUUGGGGUAAGGAAUUCUGCUAACCCGGGAGAAGGUGUUAGGCAUUCUCGGGUUCCGUGGUUCUAGCACGGUCGCUCAACUAUUAUUAUUGGCCUAAUUAUCUGAUUUUAAAACACUUUUAAACCUAUGUGCAUUUUUAACUUUAACCCCGCUUUUAUUGAUUUAAGGAAUUAUUUCAAGGUUAUUUAAAACACAUCGCAAGCCACGCUACAUGAAAUGUACCCGUGAUUCACGACACGUUCAAUUUAACCUUGUUGGAAAUUAGAAUCGGGUCACAUGAAAUGUACCCGAAUUUUAGUAAUUACAAAUCAUAACUACGUCACGGGAACCACACCCGUAACCAUGAUAAUUAUUUAAUUAAUGCGCCUGAAGAAAACUAUGAUAUUUAUGAAUAUUAACGGCCUAAGCGUGCUCCUAACGAUCCAAAAUCACAUCAAUAAGCAAUAUCUAAACAAUAUACAACUCCAAUCGUUACAAAAUUUAGUUGAAAUCGUUACUCAAUCCAAUAUCACUUUGGUCUAAUUCACUGUCAUUUUAGCCCAUACUUAUCGUUUUGGUACAAAUUACAAAUAAAUUAUUCACUUUCAAAACAAAUUACUAAGUUGCAAUAGUUUUGAAAAAAUAGCACCUCCCUUUACAUGACUAAAACACAUUAUGGUUCAUAAUAAAAUCAAACUAGCAGACUAAUUUCAAACAAGACAGAGUAAACAAACUAGCAAAUAACUCAACAUUUUUAGAGGUCUUAAACUAAUUUCAAACAAGACACAAUAAACAAACCAAACUGGUAGACUAAUUAAUCAGAACAACUAAGGCAUACCCAACAAAAUUGAACAAGAAAAACUCACUCAAAAUGUUCAAACAACUAUGUAAAGGGAAAUGAGAUGGACCUCUAUUACUGUAAUUUGUUCUCAAACCAAUAAAAUGGAUUUCCAGUCGCAAUGGUCGCGAGUAGCUACAAUUGUUCAGGUGGUAUUAAACAGAACCCGACUUGUCAAACAAAACUUGACCACGAACCGGGACCGUCGAUCGGAACCUUGACAGCAAACCUCGAGCGAACCUCUGUCUUGCUCCGAUAACUGUUUUCAUGGCUAAUCCGCUACUGAAGCUAUGGUGUGUUCAUAGUAACCUUUGAAGAAUAGUGAAGGGAUGACGAUGGAUGGUGUUGAAGGGGUUGCUGUGAUGGCGUCGCGACUGAGUGAGAGACAGUAAUGGGAGGAACUGGAGGGGUCUGUUUUCGCUAGUGUAAGGUCGGAUCGUUCGGCUGCUGCUUCUCUUUUAAUCUCUGUGUGUUUUUGUUAAUGAAGAUGGUGAAGAAGCAGAACGGAUGGGAGGGCCUGAAUCUUGGCUGAAGAGAGAUUCCUUUAGUCUCUAGUGUUGAAAUGGCUGACUAUCGAGACUGAGUUUUGCUAGGGUUCUUCUAUGUCUGCUUCUUUGUGUGUGAGGAAGAUGAUACUUAAGGUGUGUCUAUAUUCAAAAUCAGAAAUGGUUGUGUGUGUUGGACCUUCUAGGGUCUUUUUGUUAAGUUUCCAUAAGGAAGAAGAGAGCUCCAGGUUGUCUUCUAUUGUGUGCUAAAGCUUAAGGCUUUUGAUCCAAGAUCCUCAUGGAAAACGGCGGAUGUUGUGUAUUCUUUUCCUAGGGUUCGCUCCUUAGGUCUCUAUAAAGAAGAAAGGUUUGAUGGAGAGUGGGGGUCUCUCUAUUGUGUGUUGCGGCUGAGUAAAGUCUAGGGUCUAGGUUUUUUUUUCUUGUAUAUUAUGCUAAAGGAGUAUC